This 749-nucleotide long non-coding RNA is filed under the name Anneissia japonica. RNAcentral describes it as "uncharacterized LOC117116578". Lineage: Eukaryota; Metazoa; Echinodermata; Crinoidea; Comatulida; Comatulidae. The record is from RNAcentral.
CAUCGACAGAGGAUCAAAGGUACAGACCUCCUCGCCGCGAUCGUCAUAUCUCACCAGUUACGUAACCGUAAUUAACAAUAGAUAAGCUGUAAUCGGUAACCGCGCAUGCGCCAGUAUCUGUCAACAACCAAGCCACAACAAAUCACUCGGGGCAACAAGAAGCCAAGUUACAACUUUCGAGAUCGUGCUGAAAAUAUGGAUGACAUGACUGAUGCUAUCGACUUUUAUAAAUUAUAAGAUGAGUUAGAGGAUGAAAUUCUCAAAGAAUUGGAGGCAGCAAAUGAAUUAGAAGACCAAGAAAAUGACGUUGAUAGACCGGCAAAUAAAUUUUCUGAAGAUGAUGCCAUCAAAGGGAUGAAGGGCUACAUUCAAUCGGCUUUGACGUCACUGAUGAAGUAGUUGACAAGUUCACUGCUAUGGUAACUACAAACCAUCUUGAUGUUUUGCUGAACAACAUUGUUGAUAAAGUAAUUGUACAAACAUAUUGGUGCAGAAUAACAAGGGCUACUCUUUGUGACGCUGCAUCGAAGCAACUACUUGAUAUUGUAGUGAAGUACUGGAUUAAUUAAAAAUUAGAGCCAAUGCUUUUUUGAAAGUAUAUCUGAAUGUAAAGAGGGAAAGUGGUAAGAUUUCAAAAAAGGGAGAAAAAUCUCUAAGGAAGGAGCUGCAAUAAUAUGCCAUAUCUGGGUUUUGUAUAAUAAUGAAUACAUUAUUUUUGGAAAUAAAUAUGCAGGUGAUGUUUUACAGUA